CCUACGGGGAGCAGCAGUGAGGAAUAUUGGUCAAUGGGCGGGAGCCUGAACCAGCCAAGUCGCGUGAGGGAAGACGGUCCUAUGGAUUGUAAACCUCUUUAGGCGGGGAGCAAUGCCGGGCACGCGUGCCCGGCGGGAGAGUACCCGCAGAAUAAGCAUCGGCUAACUCCGUGCCAGCAGCCGCGGUAAUACGGAGGAUGCGAGCGUUAUCCGGAUUUAUUGGGUUUAAAGGGUGCGUAGGCGGAUUUUAAAGUCAGCGGUAAAUUGUUCGGGCUCAACCCGGGCCGGCCGUUGAUACUGGGGAUCUUGAGUGGGCGAGAGGUAGGCGGAAUGCGUGGUGUAGCGGUGAAAUGCAUAGAUAUCACGCAGAACUCCGAUUGCGAAGGCAGCAUACCGGCGCCCGACUGACGCUGAGGCACGAAAGCGUGGGGAUCGAACAGGAUUAGAUACCCCAGUAGUC
This 460-nucleotide ribosomal RNA is filed under the name uncultured bacterium. RNAcentral describes it as "partial 16S ribosomal RNA". It matches the Rfam family "Bacterial small subunit ribosomal RNA", at positions 338 to 795 of the family's 1533-position model. The record is from RNAcentral.